GGGGCUGUAUUGGAAUUGACAUCAUGAUUAAUAUAUAAGUAAGCAUAUCGUGUAUAUGUAAUGUAAUCACGUAUGAAAAUUUCAUUACAAAUAUAUAAACGGCAAAAAAAAUUACGCUCUUGCUGCUUGAUACUAUUUAAAAUAAGAGUAAAGCAAAAUAUUUUUUUAUUUUCUCUUUCUUACAGAAAAUAAAAAUUUACUUUAAGUAAGAAUAGGAAAGAUUGAGGUUCUAAAUCUUUCUAAGAAGUUAGAAGAACUAGAUUCUAAGUAAUAGAUUCUUAUCUCUAAACUUAGAAUUCAUUUUAAUUUGAUAAGAUAAAUAUGUAGAAAACUUAUAAUAUUACUUGUUUGGACACGGGUUCGAAUCCCGUCAGCUCCACAA
Molecule: transfer-messenger RNA, 382 nt
Filed under: Blattabacteriaceae
Lineage: Bacteria; Pseudomonadati; Bacteroidota; Flavobacteriia; Flavobacteriales
Also listed under: 1 other name
Description: Sulcia muelleri_A X9 Standard tmRNA
Rfam family: transfer-messenger RNA
About the family: Bacterial tmRNA, also known as 10Sa RNA or SsrA, is named for its dual tRNA and mRNA-like properties. Its role is to liberate the mRNA from a stalled ribosome. To accomplish this part of the tmRNA is used as a reading frame that ends in a translation stop signal.
Source: RNAcentral